Molecule: ribosomal RNA, 253 nt
Filed under: uncultured bacterium
Lineage: Bacteria
Description: partial 16S ribosomal RNA
Rfam family: Bacterial small subunit ribosomal RNA
Source: RNAcentral
UACAGAGGUCCCGAGCGUUGUUCGGAUUCAUUGGGCGUAAAGGGUGCGUAGGCGGCGCGGUAAGUCGGAUGUGAAAUCUCGGGGCUUAACUCCGAAACUGCAUUCGAUACUACCGUGCUUGAGGACUGGAGAGGAGACUGGAAUUUACGGUGUAGCGGUGAAAUGCGUAGAUAUCGUAAGGAAGACCAGUGGCGAAGGCGGGUCUCUGGACAGUUCCUGACGCUGAGGCACGAAGGUCAGGGGAGCAAACGGG